This is a non-coding RNA of Oryza meridionalis, 201 nucleotides long. The record is from Rfam. NCBI's taxonomy places the organism in Eukaryota, Viridiplantae, Streptophyta, Magnoliopsida, Poales, Poaceae.
UUUAGGAGUAACAACGUUCGCGUCCAAUUUUAAUUGUCCGUUUUAUUUUAAUUUUUUUUAUAAAUAGUAUUUUUGUUGGUACGAGAUGAUAAAACAUGAAUAGUACUUUACUAGUGAUUUAUGUUUUUAAAUUUUUUAAAAAAAAUUUCAAGUAAGACGGGCGAUUAAAGUUGGACCCAAAAAAUCAUAGCUGCACUUAAA